RNAcentral lists this long non-coding RNA (294 nucleotides) under Elaeis guineensis (African oil palm). RNAcentral describes it as "long non-coding RNA (EGUI_LNC044141)". The record is from RNAcentral. Lineage: Eukaryota; Viridiplantae; Streptophyta; Magnoliopsida; Arecales; Arecaceae.
AUAUAAGACAUGAUUGGUUAUAAAGACGGUCCAACAAGUACAAAACAUGUCCUAGAGAAAAGUAUAUGUCAGCCAAGAUUGGCUUCUAGGGCACACAUCCAACAAACUCUCAUUUGCACUAAAGCCAAUUUGCCAUAUACCUGAGCCCCAUCUUCUGAAGAUAGGCUUCGGUGUUUAGCUAGCCAAGUGACUUGGGCCUAUCAUUAUUAUGUGGAGUCUACUCUCUCUACCUCCAUGUAUUUCUACUUGAAGUAAUUGCGUAUAUCUCUGCUCUAUGUGCAUGAACUUCUGGUG